Molecule: non-coding RNA, 1967 nt
Organism: Phoenix dactylifera (date palm)
Lineage: Eukaryota; Viridiplantae; Streptophyta; Magnoliopsida; Arecales; Arecaceae
Source: RefSeq, a predicted model, not a curated record
CACAUCCAUCCUCCAUCUCCUUGAAGAACAAUCAAAGUUUGAGUAUUUAGAGGAAAAAAAGCUUCAGCCAUUGCAGUGUUCUUGCGCGAGCUAGCACUCCCGCGGAAGACGAUCUACCUAGGGCUUCACGUGUACUUAUCAUAGAGGGCAUUCGUGUGCGUGGCUGUGAAGUCAAGGAUCAGAUCCAUAAGUUUCUUCCAUCAUAAAUGGUCGAACUUAUUUGGGAUGAGCCCUGAACCCAAAUCUAUUGAGCUCAAACUCCCCUGUUCACUCCUUGCUAAGUCCAACCAUCCACGUCAUCAUACAAGCUUGCAUUCCAUCCUCCCUCAUGUCCAAAAGUCUUGCUCCCAGCCGUAUCUAUCAUCUUCAUCACGUCUUAAUCUCAACUAAACUCCCAGCUCCCGAAUCCCGAAUCUCCCAACGUCCGCGUUCACCUCCCCUGCUCAAAUGAUCCCAAGCCUCCCCUGCAUCCUCAUACCGUUCAUCAUCCUUAUCCCUUAUCCAACCGUUCCCAAGCUUCAUCCCAAUGGCAUCAUCACCUUCCUCUUGUUCUGGACUCCUUCCGUUCACAAACAAAUUCCCAGCUCAUAUCACCUUGUCACAGCUCAUCUCCCCUCCUCUUCGCCUGUAGGAUAAACUCAAAUCCUAGCUUCUUCCUGAUUGAUCCCAUAGCCAUCCCAACUAACUCCAAUCUUCAUCCCGGUCCGAGUUGAAGCUCUGCUCCAUGUCUGGAAUCCAUGCAUCCCAUGAAUCACGGAUCAUCACAUCCUCCUUGCUCCUCGACCACGUCCUCAACCGAAUCCCCUGUUUCUCCGUGACCUCCUCCAUAUCCAACUGCAUCAUCCGAACUUCCUCAGCCAAGGAUCCUUCCACGUCAACAAACAAGAGCUCUUCCGCAUCUAAAGAAUAAGCUCACCGAUCCGAAUUUAUUCCAGAUUUUCUACCAUUCGUUAUAGCCAUUAACCACCCACGAAAACAGAACCCUCUUCCCAAGUAUCACGAAGGAGCUCUCUUCCAAGAUCUUCCUUAUCCGAUUCCCCUGUUCCGCGUGUUCCUUCUCUGCUAGAGGAGAACCAGCAACCAUACAACGUUCGGAUAGAUUUCAUCAGCCGUGAUCCCAACAUCCCAAAGCUUGCAUCUUUAUCCUCUUCUUCAAAACAGAACCAGCAAAGUCCCAGCGUCAUCUCCUCCCAGAUUUCAUUCGCAAUCAACCCACGAUUCGGCUUCAUCCUCCCGAGCUUCACGGCAUCCAAGUUUUUCCUCCCAACUUCUGGAUAAUUUUCCAGUCAUCCAGCAACCGUAUGCGCUUUUCCCAGCAAUUCUUAGCACCCGCAUUAAAGGAUCAAGUCCUCUCAACCGUGAGCUUCAUCAGCGUCAUCCCCUGCCUCAAAACAGAAUUCUUCUUCUAAUCCGAGCCUCCUCCGCAUCCUUCCAAUAUCCCACAGAUCACCUCCUCUGUUCCCAGCGGAAUCCUCUGCAUCCACAACGGCCCAACGCGUCCGGAGAUUAAGCAGAAAUCUCUCAACCUCAUCCCGCUUCAGUCCAUCCUCAUCGCAACGUGAAACGGGGAAGAAGAGAGAGAGAGGUUGCAACCUAUAAAAACCCAAACGUGCAACAGGGGAAGGCACUUCGGGGGUUCGGUUCCACAUCUCUUCACAAGCUGAAAUCCCACGGAAACAGAGGAGGGAGAAGAGUUUCUUGAGUACUUUGGGAAUGACUUUCCAAAGGAAGAGAUGACGAGGUGCUGAGAGGAAGCUGACGGGAGGAAGGAGGGAAAGCCAAUCAUUAUGAAGUCCCGCUGCUGUGCCACUGCUGCUGUCACCCACAACUCCAUGGAAGCUUGAUCUCCUCACUAGGGCUGGAUGCAGCCCUAACGAAGGACCAAGGGUUUUAUAUUUUAUAUUUUAUUUUAUAUUCUUGGGGUUGUAUGAACUUAUUGUUUUCAAUGGAUAUCUUCUUUUGAAUCA